Molecule: unclassified non-coding RNA, 21 nt
Filed under: Chlamydomonas reinhardtii
Lineage: Eukaryota; Viridiplantae; Chlorophyta; Chlorophyceae; Chlamydomonadales; Chlamydomonadaceae
Description: small RNA Cre_3218
Source: RNAcentral
UGGAAGUCUACUUGCGGCUGG